This 705-nucleotide ribosomal RNA is filed under the name Streptomyces sp. Its description in RNAcentral is "bacterial SSU rRNA". It matches the Rfam family "Bacterial small subunit ribosomal RNA", at positions 106 to 824 of the family's 1533-position model. Lineage: Bacteria; Bacillati; Actinomycetota; Actinomycetes; Kitasatosporales; Streptomycetaceae. The record is from RNAcentral.
GUGAGUAACACGUGGGCAAUCUGCCCUGCACUCUGGGACAAGCCCUGGAAACGGGGUCUAAUACCGGAUACUGAACCUCACAGGCAUCUGUGAGGGUCGAAAGCUCCGGCGGUGCAGGAUGAGCCCGCGGCCUAUCAGCUUGUUGGUGAGGUAAUGGCUCACCAAGGCGACGACGGGUAGCCGGCCUGAGAGGGCGACCGGCCACACUGGGACUGAGACACGGCCCAGACUCCUACGGGAGGCAGCAGUGGGGAAUAUUGCACAAUGGGCGAAAGCCUGAUGCAGCGACGCCGCGUGAGGGAUGACGGCCUUCGGGUUGUAAACCUCUUUCAGCAGGGAAGAAGCGAAAGUGACGGUACCUGCAGAAGAAGCGCCGGCUAACUACGUGCCAGCAGCCGCGGUAAUACGUAGGGCGCAAGCGUUGUCCGGAAUUAUUGGGCGUAAAGAGCUCGUAGGCGGCUUGUCACGUCGGUUGUGAAAGCCCGGGGCUUAACCCCGGGUCUGCAGUCGAUACGGGCAGGCUAGAGUUCGGUAGGGGAGAUCGGAAUUCCUGGUGUAGCGGUGAAAUGCGCAGAUAUCAGGAGGAACACCGGUGGCGAAGGCGGAUCUCUGGGCCGAUACUGACGCUGAGGAGCGAAAGCGUGGGGAGCGAACAGGAUUAGAUACCCUGGUAGUCCACGCCGUAAACGGUGGGCACUAGGUGUG